This is a non-coding RNA of Schistosoma mansoni, 40 nucleotides long. Lineage: Eukaryota; Metazoa; Platyhelminthes; Trematoda; Strigeidida; Schistosomatidae. The record is from Rfam.
GGCUAGCAGUCCCAAAUAGGACGAAACGCGCGUCCUGGAU